GUCUAUGGCCCAACCACCCAAAUGCACCCAGCACCCAAUCUAAUCUUAAAGCUAAUCAGGGUCAGGCCAGGUUAGUUCUUGGAUGGGAAAUUGUCUGGGAAUACCAUGUGCUAUUCUCC
This 119-nucleotide ribosomal RNA is filed under the name Mesocricetus auratus (golden hamster). Lineage: Eukaryota; Metazoa; Chordata; Mammalia; Rodentia; Cricetidae. The record is from RNAcentral.